Molecule: ribosomal RNA, 574 nt
Filed under: Helicotylenchus digonicus
Lineage: Eukaryota; Metazoa; Nematoda; Chromadorea; Rhabditida; Hoplolaimidae
Description: eukaryotic LSU rRNA
Rfam family: Eukaryotic large subunit ribosomal RNA (bases 399-574)
Source: RNAcentral
CCGAUGAGGUGGAAACGGACAGAGCUGGCGUAUCUGGCCUGCAUUCAGCCGUCGCGCGCCGGGCCCCGGUUUGCCUCACUCCAGACUGGGAGGGUGGCUUGGGCGCUGGCGUUGCGGUGGUGCAUUUGCAGGUGGAGUGCGCCGAGGCGCUCGGCUCAGCGGCAUGAGCUCGGCUUUGAGGCCAUCCGCGCAAGCGGUCUGGUUCCGGGUCGGGGGAGUGUUGUUUGGGCUGGGUGUUCGCUUGGGUUGUGGUUUCGGGCUCGUGUGGGUGCCGAGCUGGCGGUCGGCGGCGGUCGCUUGCGACACGUGCCUUCAGUCAGUUCGGUCCUGCUCGGGCUCCCAGCUGCCCGGCCUCGGUGUAAAAGCCGGUCAUCUGUCCGACCCGUCUUGAAACACGGACCAAGGAGUUUAGCGUGUGCGCGAGUCAUUGGGCGUUGAAAACCCAAAGGCGCAAUGAAAGUGAAGGUCUGCCUUGUGCAGCUGAUGUGUGAUCCUGGGCGCUGCGGUGCCCGGGCGCAACAUAGUCCCGUUCCGACUGCUUGCAGUGGGGCGGAGACAGAGCGUACGCGCUGAG